Molecule: small nucleolar RNA, 107 nt
Organism: Lactuca sativa (garden lettuce)
Lineage: Eukaryota; Viridiplantae; Streptophyta; Magnoliopsida; Asterales; Asteraceae
Source: RefSeq, a predicted model, not a curated record
AGUUCAUGAUGUGGGUAAUUCCUUAGUAAGAUCUUGUACCUUUCCCAAGCUUCAUAAAGUGACUCUCUAGCUUGUUGUUCAUAGUUGGCUAUGGCUUUCUUGAACUU